Molecule: non-coding RNA, 169 nt
Filed under: Phytophthora nicotianae P1569
Lineage: Eukaryota; Oomycota; Peronosporomycetes; Peronosporales; Peronosporaceae
Description: Phytophthora parasitica P1569 Eukaryotic large subunit ribosomal RNA
Rfam family: Eukaryotic large subunit ribosomal RNA
Source: Rfam by way of RNAcentral
UUGGCUGGGGCGGCACAUCUGUUAAAUGAUAACACAGGUGUCCUAAGGUGAGCUCAAUGAGAACAGAAAUCUCAUGUAGAACAAAAGGGUAAAAGCUCACUUGAUUUUGAUUUUCAGUAUGAAUACAAACCGUGAAAGCGUGGCCUAUCGAUCCUUUAGUUCUUUUGAA